This is a non-coding RNA of Leptonychotes weddellii (Weddell seal), 239 nucleotides long. NCBI's taxonomy places the organism in Eukaryota, Metazoa, Chordata, Mammalia, Carnivora, Phocidae. The record is from RefSeq and is a predicted model, not a curated record.
CAAGGCCCUCUGGUUUCUGAAGCAGUGUAUGACUCUCUUCAAGAGCCCACAGGCCCCCAUCCGCCAGGCAGCCGUACGGUUUGCAGGCCAGAUCAUCCCAACCCUCGACGCAGAAGAGGCCAGUGAUAUUGAGGAAGUAUACGCUGCCCUAAGGUCCAUGCGGGAAGACCCCGACCCCAUGGUCAGCUGCCUCGCCACUCAGACCCUCUACAUCCUGGAAGCCCGGGAGAAGCUGCUGG